RNAcentral lists this ribosomal RNA (417 nucleotides) under uncultured bacterium. RNAcentral describes it as "bacterial SSU rRNA". It matches the Rfam family "Bacterial small subunit ribosomal RNA", at positions 28 to 423 of the family's 1533-position model. The record is from RNAcentral.
GACGAACGCUGGCGGCGUGCCUAACACAUGCAAGUCGAACGGAGAGAUACGAGAGCUUGCUCUUGUAAAUCUUAGUGGCGAACGGGUGAGUAACGCGUAAAACAACCUGCCCAACGGAUGGGGACAACAGACGGAAACGACUGCUAAUACCCAAUAGACUCCGGUUUCGCAUGAAACCGACAGGAAAGGUGGCCUCUCGAAGAAGCUACCGCCGCAGGAGGGGUUUGCGUUUGAUUAGUUAGUUGGUGGGGUAACGGCCUACCAAGACGAUGAUCAAUAGCCGGUCUGAGAGGAUGAACGGCCACACUGGAACUGAGACACGGUCCAGACUCCUACGGGAGGCAGCAGUGGGGAAUCUUCCGCAAUGGACGCAAGUCUGACGGAGCAACGCCGCGUGAGUGAAGAACGGCCUCGGUU